CAGUCGCCACGGUAAUGCGAAGGGUGCAAGCGUUACUCGGAAUUACUGGGCGUAAAGCGUGCGUAGGUGGUGGUUUAAGUCCGUUGUGAAAGCCUGGGCUCAACCUGGGAAUUGCAGUGGAUACUGGGUCACUAGAGUGUGGUAGAGGAUAGUGGAAUUUCCGGUGUAGCAGUGAAAUGCGUAGAGAUCGGAAGGAACGUCUGUGGCGAAGGCGACUAUCUGGGCCAACACUGACACUGAGGCACGAAAGCGUGGGGAGCAAACAGGAUUAGAUACCCCCGUAGUCCCUGUCUCUUAUACA
This 301-nucleotide ribosomal RNA is filed under the name uncultured bacterium. Its description in RNAcentral is "partial 16S ribosomal RNA". It matches the Rfam family "Bacterial small subunit ribosomal RNA", at positions 509 to 808 of the family's 1533-position model. The record is from RNAcentral.